This 465-nucleotide ribosomal RNA is filed under the name uncultured Klebsiella sp. RNAcentral's name for it is "bacterial SSU rRNA". It matches the Rfam family "Bacterial small subunit ribosomal RNA", at positions 338 to 795 of the family's 1533-position model. The record is from RNAcentral. Lineage: Bacteria; Pseudomonadati; Pseudomonadota; Gammaproteobacteria; Enterobacterales; Enterobacteriaceae.
CCUACGGGUGGCAGCAGUGGGGAAUAUUGCACAAUGGGCGCAAGCCUGAUGCAGCCAUGCCGCGUGUGUGAAGAAGGCCUUCGGGUUGUAAAGCACUUUCAGCGGGGAGGAAGGCGUUAAGGUUAAUAACCUUGGCGAUUGACGUUACCCGCAGAAGAAGCACCGGCUAACUCCGUGCCAGCAGCCGCGGUAAUACGGGGGGUGCAAGCGUUAAUCGGAAUUACUGGGCGUAAAGCGCACGCAGGCGGUCUGUCAAGUCGGAUGUGAAAUCCCCGGGCUCAACCUGGGAACUGCAUUCGAAACUGGCAGGCUAGAGUCUUGUAGAGGGGGGUAGAAUUCCAGGUGUAGCGGUGAAAUGCGUAGAGAUCUGGAGGAAUACCGGUGGUGAAGGCGGCCCCCUGGACAAAGACUGACGCUCAGGUGCGAAAGCGUGGGGAGCAAACAGGAUUAGAUACCCGAGUAGUC